GAUGAACGCUGGCGGCGUGCUUAACACAUGCAAGUCGAACGAUGAAGCCCAUCUUGCUGUGUGGAUUAGUGGCGAACGGGUGAGUAACACGUGAGUAACCUGCCCUUAACUCUGGGAUAAGCCUGGGAAACUGGGUCUAAUACCGGAUAGGAGCGUCCACCGCAUGGUGGGUGUUGGAAAGAUUUCUCGGUUUUGGAUGGACUCGCGGCCUAUCGGCUUGUUGGUGGGGUAAUGGCUCACCAAGGCGAAGACGGGUAGCCGGCCUGAGGGGGUGACCGGCCACACUGGGACUGGGACACGGCCCAGACUCCUACGGGGGGCAGCAGUGGGGAAUAUUGCACAAUGGGCGAAAGCCUGAUGCAGCGACGCCGCGUGAGGGAUGACGGCCUUCGGGUUGUAAACCUCUUUCAGUAGGGAAGAAGCGAAAGUGACGGUACCUGCAGAAGAAGCACCGGCUAACUACGUG
RNAcentral lists this ribosomal RNA (466 nucleotides) under uncultured bacterium. RNAcentral describes it as "partial 16S ribosomal RNA". It matches the Rfam family "Bacterial small subunit ribosomal RNA", at positions 28 to 507 of the family's 1533-position model. The record is from RNAcentral.